This is a long non-coding RNA of Pezoporus occidentalis (night parrot), 863 nucleotides long. RefSeq lists it as uncharacterized. The transcript is spliced from 2 exons. The record is from RefSeq and is a predicted model, not a curated record. NCBI's taxonomy places the organism in Eukaryota, Metazoa, Chordata, Aves, Psittaciformes, Psittacidae.
AGUGCACAAACCCAGCCAAGCUCCCGCGUACCUACAAAGAGCACCAGGGCUCUGGUUUUCGGUGCUCUGUGGCACUAUCAGGUUGUUGUGCCUUCAGGAGGAUACAGAGCAGCACAGUCACUGUCCUGCCCCCAGCAGGGAUGAGACAGGACACCAGCAGCUACCACGGCAGCUCUUUGUGAAGCAUCUUUAUGUGCCAGCAGUGUCCCUGGACUCACCACCACAGCACCACUUGGUCAGGAAAAGGCAGGACAGAACCCCAGCACACAAAGGUGAAGCUUUGAACAGGUGAGGAGUUACAGCUCUGUACACACCAUCUGACUUUGCUUUGGAAGUCGAUGGCUUAGGAAGUCUUUACAAACCAGUGCCUGAAAACGUAAUGGUCCACGUUGCAGCAGUUCCUAAGUGCAACAAGAGGGUCUGCACAGCAAAACCUGUCUAAGGCCUGGUUUAUGAUUAAGUCUAAAGUUCUGGUGGGGGGGGGGGGAAAGAGUAAAAUAGAGUUCUUUCUUUGUCUAACAGCUCCUGCAGCCAUUUCACAGCUGCCCAGGGCUUAAACACAGCCCUGCUUGUUGUGAAGGAAACAGCGUUUGCACUCGGCCUCCAACAGGGAUCUGUGCUCCCACAGGCACCGUUGCAGUUGUGUUUGCUGCAGAAUGAAGCAUCUUCAGCAUCUUCUCACAGCCUGUUCCAAGCAGCUUACCAGCUCCCAGUAAGUAAAAAGCAACAGGUUAAAUCCCAGCUCUCAGAAAAAGUGCACCCAACGCUAUACUGAGUCGUCCCCUGUAAUUCUUUAUUAGAAUCAUGGAUGAAAAUCUUUUAAAUCAAUCUAAAAAAAAAAAAUAAUAAUAAUAUUGGAUCAA